RNAcentral lists this ribosomal RNA (379 nucleotides) under uncultured bacterium. RNAcentral's name for it is "bacterial SSU rRNA". It matches the Rfam family "Bacterial small subunit ribosomal RNA", at positions 521 to 896 of the family's 1533-position model. The record is from RNAcentral.
UAAUACGUAGGGAGCGAGCGUUGUCCGGAUUUAUUGGGCGUAAAGAGCGCGUAGGCGGCUUGGUAAGCCGGAUGUGAAACCCCCGAGCUCAACUCGGGGCGGCCAUUCGGAACUGCCAUGGCUAGAGUCUGGUAGGGGAACACGGAAUUCCUGGUGUAGCGGUGAAAUGCUUAGAUAUCAGGAGGAACACCAGUGGCGAAGGCGGUGUUCUGGGCCAGUACUGACGCUGAGGCGCGAAAGCGUGGGGAGCGAACAGGAUUAGAUACCCUGGUAGUCCACGCCGUAAACGUUGGGCACUAGGUGUGGGGACCUAUCGACGGUUUCCGUGCCGUAGCUAACGCAUUAAGUGCCCCGCCUGGGGAGUACGGUCGCAAGACUA